CCUACGGGAGGCAGCAGUCGAGAAUCAUUCACAAUGGGGGAAACCCUGAUGGUGCGACGCCGCGUGGGGGAAUGAAGGUCUUCGGAUUGUAAACCCCUGUCAUGUGGGAGCAAAUUAAAAAGAUAGUACCACAAGAGGAAGAGACGGCUAACUCUGUGCCAGCAGCCGCGGGAAUACAGAGGUCUCAAGCGUUGUUCGGAAUCACUGGGAGUAAAGCGUGCGUAGGCUGUUUCGUAAGUCGUGUGUGAAAGGCGCGGGCUCAACCCGCGGACGGCACAUGAUACUGCGAGACUAGAGUAAUGGAGGGGGAACCGGAAUUCUCGGUGUAGCAGUGAAAUGCGUAGAUAUCGAGAGGAACACUCGUGGCGAAGGCGGGUUCCUGGACAUUAACUGACGCUGAGGCACGAAGGCCAGGGGAGCGAAAGGGAUUAGAUACCCGUGUAGUC
Molecule: ribosomal RNA, 446 nt
Filed under: uncultured bacterium
Lineage: Bacteria
Description: partial 16S ribosomal RNA
Rfam family: Bacterial small subunit ribosomal RNA
Source: RNAcentral